AGGAGAUACGGAUGUUGGCCCAGUUGCUGAUAUUAACAUACAAGGAGCAACGUGUUUGGCAACAUCAUCAGAGACAGUUUCGCCAAUAAAGAAAAUGCUGGUUGCAGAAGAAAAUAUGAUGACAUGGCCAGCCAAGAAGAACACACUACGACUUCCACUCCCACAAAG
Molecule: long non-coding RNA, 168 nt
Organism: Mya arenaria
Lineage: Eukaryota; Metazoa; Mollusca; Bivalvia; Myida; Myidae
Exons: 3
Source: RefSeq, a predicted model, not a curated record